RNAcentral lists this ribosomal RNA (519 nucleotides) under uncultured bacterium. Its description in RNAcentral is "bacterial SSU rRNA". It matches the Rfam family "Bacterial small subunit ribosomal RNA", at positions 239 to 777 of the family's 1533-position model. The record is from RNAcentral.
GAUUAGCUAGACGGUGGGGUAACGGCCUACCGUGGCGAUGAUCGGUAGCUGGUCUGAGAGGACGACCAGCCACACGGGGACUGAGACACGGCCCCGACUCCUACGGGAGGCAGCAGCAAGGAAUCUUCCGCAAUGGGCGAAAGCCUGACGGAGCAACGCCGCGUGCGGGAUGACGCCUUUCGGGGUGUAAACCGCUUUCUCAGGGAGAAGCACUGACGGUACCUGAGGAAGAAGGACCGGCUAACUACGUGCCAGCAGCCGCGGUAAUACGUAGGGUCCGAGCGUGUCCGGAGUUACUGGGCGUAAAGACGCGCGCAGGCGGCGGUGUAAGCAUGGCGUGAAAGCCCCGGCUCAACCGGGGAGGGUCGUCGUGGACUGCACCGCUUGAGGGCGGUAGGGGCUGGUGGAAUGCCUGGUGUAGUGGUGAAAUGCGUAGAGAUCAGGCGGAACACCCGUGGCGAAGGCGGCCAGCUGGGCCGACCCUGACGCUGAGCGCGAAGGCGUGGGGAGCGAACGGGA